UACAGAGGGUGCAAGCGUUAAUCGGAGUUACUGGGCGUAAAGGGCGCGUAGGUGGUUGUGUAAGUGAGAUGUGAAAUCCCUGGGCUUAACCUAGGAACUGCAUCUUAUACUGCAUAACUGGAGUACUGUAGAGGGUAGUGGAAUUUCCGGUGUAGCGGUGAAAUGCGUAGAGAUCGGAAGGAACACCAGUGGCGAAGGCAGCUCGCUGGCCUAAAACUGACGCUGAGGCGCGAAAGCGUGGGGAGCAAACAGG
RNAcentral lists this ribosomal RNA (253 nucleotides) under uncultured bacterium. RNAcentral describes it as "partial 16S ribosomal RNA". It matches the Rfam family "Bacterial small subunit ribosomal RNA", at positions 524 to 776 of the family's 1533-position model. The record is from RNAcentral.